AGACGAACCGUCCAAACGUUAUUCGGUAUCACUGGGCUUAGAGCGUGCGUAGGCGGCUUGGUAGGUGAGAUGUGAAAGCCCACGGCUCAACCGUGGAAUUGCGUUUCAAACCCCCAAGCUCGAGGAAGAUAGGGGUGAUGGGAACUUAUGGUGGAGCGGUGAAAUGCGUUGAUAUCAUAGGGAACACCGGUGGCGAAAGCGCAUCACUGGAUCUUUUCUGACGCUGAGGCACGAAAGCUAGGGUAGCGAACGGGAUUAGAAACCCGGGUAGUCC
This 274-nucleotide ribosomal RNA is filed under the name uncultured bacterium. RNAcentral's name for it is "partial 16S ribosomal RNA". It matches the Rfam family "Bacterial small subunit ribosomal RNA", at positions 523 to 796 of the family's 1533-position model. The record is from RNAcentral.